RNAcentral lists this ribosomal RNA (548 nucleotides) under uncultured bacterium. Its description in RNAcentral is "partial 16S ribosomal RNA". The record is from RNAcentral.
GGAGUUAGCCGGUGCUUCUUCUGCGAGUAACGUCACAGAUGUAAGGUAUUAACUUACACCCUUUCCUCCUCGCUGAAAGUGCUUUACAACCCGAAGGCCUUCUUCACACACGCGGCAUGGCUGCAUCAGGGUUUCCCCCAUUGUGCAAUAUUCCCCACUGCUGCCUCCCGUAGGAGUCUGGGCCGUGUCUCAGUCCCAGUGUGGCUGAUCAUCCUCUCAGACCAGCUAGGGAUCGUCGCCUAGGUGAGCCUUUACCUCACCUACUAGCUAAUCCCACCUGGGCUUAUCCAUCAGCGCAAGGCCCGAAGGUCCCCUGCUUUCCCCCGUAGGGCGUAUGCGGUAUUAGCAGUCGUUUCCAACUGUUAUCCCCCACAAAUGGGCAAAUUCCCAGGCAUUACUCACCCGUCCGCCGCUCGUCAUCUUCAAAAGCAAGCUUUUGAAAUGUUACCGCUCGACUUGCAUGUGUUAGGCCUGCCGCCAGCGUUCAAUCUGAGCCAGAAUCGAAACCUNACUACGAGACGGCGGUCGUCGGACGGACGGCGACUAGU